GAUGAACGCUGGCGGCGUGCCUAAUACAUGCAAGUAGAACGCUGAAGGAGGAGCUUGCUCUUCUGGAUGAGUUGCGAACGGGUGAGUAACGCGUAGGUAACCUGCCUUGUAGCGGGGGAUAACUAUUGGAAACGAUAGCUAAUACCGCAUGACAACAGUUAUUGCAUGAUAACUGUUUAAAAGUGGCAACUGCUCCACUACCAGAUGGACCUGCGUUGUAUUAGCUAGUUGGUGAGGUAACGGCUCACCAAGGCGACGAUACAUAGCCGACCUGAGAGGGUGAUCGGCCACACUGGGACUGAGACACGGCCCAGAAUCCUACGGGAGGCAGCAGUAGGGAAUCUUCGGCAAUGGACGGAAGUCUGACCGAGCAACGCCGCGUGAGUGAAGAAGGUUUUCGGAUCGUAAAGCUCUGUUGUAAGAGAAGAACGAGUGUGAGAGUGGAAAGUUCACACUGUGACGGUAUCUUACCAGAAAGGGACGGCUAACUACGUG
This 495-nucleotide ribosomal RNA is filed under the name uncultured bacterium. RNAcentral describes it as "partial 16S ribosomal RNA". It matches the Rfam family "Bacterial small subunit ribosomal RNA", at positions 28 to 507 of the family's 1533-position model. The record is from RNAcentral.